UAAAUGUACUUUUCCUAUCAAUCUUUCACUUCAGGCUUUGGACACCUCUUCCUCUGCCUGCAUACUUAUGAAGAGUCAGUGCUGGGCUUUAAAUGCAGCUCAGCCCAACUCAGCUGCUGUAUAUGAGUUUCUUCUGUAUUAAAGUUUGGCCAGAACCAGUUUCAAGGCAGCUGAAAGAAGAACCGACCUCCCUUCCUCCGGUGUGUUGGGAUCUUUACAGCAGCCCAUGCCGCAGCGCCUCGCCCAUCCCACCCGAGCUGCUCAUGCCACUGGCCUGGACCUAACCUAGGCUCAGUCUCAGCGUGGGCUGGGCAGGGGGCACCAUGGGGAGCUCUGCCUCAUCGCUGGCCGCGGAGACGGAGUCGGACCAUGGCUUCGGUAGCGCGCCCUACCCGGGGCACCCGGCCGUGGGCUGGUAUAGGAGCAGCCACGGCGGCCCCGUGUGGGAAAGUGCCCUUAUAACGCGGCAGCAGCAGCACCUCCAGCACCGGGUGCGAAGGUAAGGAGGAGGGGAAGGACCUGCUCGC
Molecule: long non-coding RNA, 527 nt
Filed under: Manacus vitellinus (golden-collared manakin)
Lineage: Eukaryota; Metazoa; Chordata; Aves; Passeriformes; Pipridae
Description: lncRNA (ENSMVIG00005009239.1)
Source: RNAcentral